UUUUGUAAUGCCGUUCAGUACGAAAAUCGUUCCCGUUCGGAAAGCAUCUGAGUAAAUUAACGUGACUUGUGUAAUCAAAAGCUGAUGUUACCCCUCAGGACAAACUUGAAAUCCGAAUUGGCAUGACUGAAGUUUUCAGGACCUCAAAUCCAAAUUAUUAGUGACUUUUGUAAUCAAAAGCUGAUGUCUUCAAUUAGGAGUUACCCCUCAGGAUCAACUUGAAGUCCCAAUUGGCAUGGCUGGAGUUUUGAAGUCCUCAAAUCUUGCUUUGAUAAUUACAGCACUGCUGGCUCAUUGGUACAUUUCAUAAGUACCUUAUGAAAUGUUCCAAUGGUCGGGCAGAGCUAAUACUUGUCCAUGUUUUGGAAUAGAAGUAAUCCUAAGAAGAGCAAAUCUGCCAGUUACCAUUCUCACUAUGUAACAAUUGGAACAAGAAUUUUAAGCAAGCCGAUUACUUAAUUCAAUUAAGAAAUAUUCAAUAAAUGUUUUGACAA
Long non-coding RNA from Drosophila mauritiana, 494 nucleotides. RefSeq lists it as uncharacterized. The transcript has 3 exons. The record is from RefSeq and is a predicted model, not a curated record. Lineage: Eukaryota; Metazoa; Arthropoda; Insecta; Diptera; Drosophilidae.